This 461-nucleotide ribosomal RNA is filed under the name uncultured bacterium. RNAcentral's name for it is "bacterial SSU rRNA". It matches the Rfam family "Bacterial small subunit ribosomal RNA", at positions 28 to 490 of the family's 1533-position model. The record is from RNAcentral.
GAUGAACGCUAGCGGCAGGCCUAAUACAUGCAAGUCGAACGCUCAGUAGCAAUACUGGGAGUGGCGCACGGGUGCGUAACGCGUACACAAUCUACCUCUAAGCGGGGGACACCUCCUGGAAACGGGGAUUAAUACCGCAUAAUAUGCCGAAGUCGCAUGACUUUGGUAUUAAAGCAGCAAUGCACUUAGAGAUGAGUGUGCGUCCCAUUAGGUAGUUGGUGAGGUAACGGCUCACCAAGCCUAUGAUGGGUAGCCGGUCUGAGAGGAUGGUCGGCCACACGGGCACUGAGACACGGGCCCGACUCCUACGGGAGGCAGCAGUAAGGAAUAUUGGACAAUGGGGGCAACCCUGAUCCAGCCAUGCCGCGUGUGUGAAGAAGGCCUCGGUGUAAGCACUUAAGUGGGGUAGGAAGGCGUCGCUGAUUAAUAAUCAGCGGAGGUGACGUUACCCACAGAAUAAG